GGAUAAUCUACCCUUAGGACCGGGAUAACCCUGGGAAACUGGGGCUAAUACUGGAUAGGCAAUUUUUCCUGCAAUGGUUUUUUGUUUAAAUGUUUUUUCGCCUAAGGAUGAGUCUGCGGCCGAUUAGGUAGUUGGUUAGGUAAUGGCUUACCAAGCCAUUGAUCGGUACGGGUUGUGAGAGCAAGAGCCCGGAGAUGGAACCUGAGACAAGGUUCCAGGCCCUACGGGGUGCAGCAGGCGCGAAACCUCCGCAAUGUGAGAAAUCGCGACGGGGGGAUCCCAAGUGCCAUUCUUAACGGGAUGGCUUUUCAUUAGUGUAAAGAGCUUUUGGAAUAAGGGCUGGGCAAGACCGGUGCCAGCCGCCGCGGUAACACCGGCAGCUCUAGUGGUAGCAGUUUUUAUUGGGCCUAAAGCGUCCGUAGCCGGUUUAAUAAGUCUCUGGUGAAAUCCUGUAGCUUAACUGUGGGAAUUGCUGGAGAUACUAUUAGACUUGAGACCGGGAGAGGUUAGAGGUACUCCCAGGGUAGAGGUGAAAUUCUGUAAUCCUGGGAGGACCGCCUGUUGCGAAGGCGUCUAACUGGAACGGUUCUGACGGUGAGGGACGAAAGUUAGGGGCGCGAACCGGAUUAGAUACCCGGGUAGUCCUAACUGUAAACGAUGCGGACUUGGUGUUGGGGUGGCUUUGAGCUGCUCCAGUGCCGAAGGGAAGCUGUUAAGUCCGCCGCCUGGGAAGUACGGUCGCAAGACUGA
This 750-nucleotide ribosomal RNA is filed under the name uncultured archaeon. Its description in RNAcentral is "bacterial SSU rRNA". It matches the Rfam family "Archaeal small subunit ribosomal RNA", at positions 102 to 852 of the family's 1478-position model. The record is from RNAcentral.